Non-coding RNA from Cavia porcellus (domestic guinea pig), 710 nucleotides. Lineage: Eukaryota; Metazoa; Chordata; Mammalia; Rodentia; Caviidae. The record is from the annotation of a RefSeq genome assembly.
CCUGCUCAGCUGCUGGGGCUGCUGAUGCUCUGCCUGCCUGGAUCCUCGGGAGAUGUUCUGAUGACCCAGACCCCACACUCUUUGUCCGUCUCCCUAGGAGAGCCGGCCACUAUCUCCUGCAGGUCCAGUCAGAGCCUCCUGUAUAGUAAUGGAUUAACAUAUUUUAAUUGGCUUGUGCAGAAGCCAGGCCAGGUUCCAAGGCUCAUCAUUUAUGAGGUUUCCAAAAGAGACUCUUGGGUCUCUGACAGGUUCAGUGGCAGUGGGUCAUGGACAGAUUUCACACUCAAAAUCAGCAGGGUGGAGGCUGAGAAUGCUGGGGUUUAUUACUGUCAGCAAGGUACACAUGUUCCUCCCACAGUGCUACAGCCCCGGACACAAACCUCCCUGCCUGGGGAGGCCCAGCUGCCCUUCUGCACUGCCGCUGGUGAGCAGCACAGCACAGACUUCUCUGUGUGAGAGGAAGGGGCUGAAGAAUCAGAACAACAAGUUGCAACUGAGGCCUCUGCCCUGGAGGAAGAUUGAGGAAGACAACAGUGUAACAAGAAUAUGUUCUUUGCUGAGGGAUCUGACACAGAGGGAGAAGGAUGCAACUGAGCACUACAGUUUCUUUAGGCCUUUAAAAUUCUGUUCCUUUGUGAAAAUUAAUAAAACCAAAAGAAACACAUAAACAUGAAUUUAGCCAAAAAUUAUUAAUAAAAUGGAAAUGGCUU